CCUACGGGAGGCAGCAGUAGGGAAUCUUCCACAAUGGGCGAAAGCCUGAUGGAGCAACGCCGCGUGAGUGAUGAAGGCCUUCGGGUUGUAAAACUCUGUCAUUCGGGACGAACCGGAGUCUGAGGAAAUGCAGACUCUCUGACGGUACCGGAGGAGGAAGCCCCGGCUAACUACGUGCCAGCAGCCGCGGUAAUACGUAGGGGGCAAGCGUUGUCCGGAUUCACUGGGCGUAAAGCGCGCGCAGGCGGUGAUGUAAGUCUGAGGUGAAAACCCGAAGCUCAACUUCGGGACUGCCUUGGAUACUGCGUCACUUGAGGAUAGGAGAGGCAAGGGGAAUUCCACGUGUAGCGGUGAAAUGCGUAGAGAUGUGGAGGAACACCUGUGGCGAAGGCGCCUUGCUGGCCUAUUUCUGACGCUGAGGCGCGAAAGCGUGGGGAGCAAACAGGAUUAGAUACCCUGGUAGUCCACGCUGUAAACGAUGAGUGCUAGGUGUAGGUGGGGCUCAUACCCAUCUGUGCCGAAGCUAACGCAUUAAGCACUCCGCCUGGGGAGUACGGUCGCAAGACUGAAACUCAAAGGAAUUGACGG
RNAcentral lists this ribosomal RNA (588 nucleotides) under uncultured bacterium. RNAcentral's name for it is "bacterial SSU rRNA". It matches the Rfam family "Bacterial small subunit ribosomal RNA", at positions 338 to 916 of the family's 1533-position model. The record is from RNAcentral.